CCUACGGGUGGCUGCAGUGGGGAAUAUUGGACAAUGGGGGCAACCCUGAUCCAGCCAUGCCGCGUGUGUGAAGAAGGCCCUCGGGUUGUAAAGCACUUUCAGUGAGGAAGAACGCCUGGUGGUUAAUACCCAUCAGGAAAGACAUCACUCACAGAAGAAGCACCGGCUAACUCCGUGCCAGCAGCCGCGGUAAUACGGAGGGUGCGAGCGUUAAUCGGAAUUACUGGGCGUAAAGCGCGCGUAGGUGGCUUGAUAAGCCGGUUGUGAAAGCCCCGGGUUCAACCUGGGAACGGCAUCCGGAACUGUCAAGCUAGAGUGCAGGAGAGGAAGGUAGAAUUCCCGGUGUAGCGGUGAAAUGCGUAGAGAUCGGGAGGAAUACCAGUGGCGAAGGCGGCCUUCUGGACUGACACUGACACUGAGGUGCGAAAGCGUGGGUAGCAAACAGGAUUAGAUACCCUUGUAGUC
Molecule: ribosomal RNA, 465 nt
Filed under: Vreelandella stevensii
Lineage: Bacteria; Pseudomonadati; Pseudomonadota; Gammaproteobacteria; Oceanospirillales; Halomonadaceae
Description: partial 16S ribosomal RNA
Rfam family: Bacterial small subunit ribosomal RNA
Source: RNAcentral